RNAcentral lists this ribosomal RNA (627 nucleotides) under Trichormus variabilis PUPCCC 410.5. RNAcentral describes it as "bacterial SSU rRNA". It matches the Rfam family "Bacterial small subunit ribosomal RNA", at positions 102 to 763 of the family's 1533-position model. The record is from RNAcentral. Lineage: Bacteria; Bacillati; Cyanobacteriota; Cyanophyceae; Nostocales; Nostocaceae.
ACGGGUGAGUAACGCGUGAGAAUCUUUUUUCGAGGUCGGGGACAACCACUGGAAACGGUGGCUAAUACCGGAUGUGCCGAAAGGUGAAAGAUUUAUUGCCUAGAGAUGAGCUCGCGUCUGAUUAGCUAGUUGGUGUGGUAAGAGCGCACCAAGGCGACGAUCAGUAGCUGGUCUGAGAGGAUGAUCAGCCACACUGGGACUGAGACACGGCCCAGACUCCUACGGGAGGCAGCAGUGGGGAAUUUUCCGCAAUGGGCGAAAGCCUGACGGAGCAAUACCGCGUGAGGGAGGAAGGCUCUUGGGUUGUAAACCUCUUUUCUCAGGGAAUAAGAAAGUGAAGGUACCUGAGGAAUAAGCAUCGGCUAACUCCGUGCCAGCAGCCGCGGUAAUACGGAGGAUGCAAGCGUUAUCCGGAAUGAUUGGGCGUAAAGCGUCCGCAGGUGGCACUGUAAGUCUGCUGUUAAAGAGCAAGGCUCAACCUUGUAAAGGCAGUGGAAACUACAGAGCUAGAGUACGUUCGGGGCAGAGGGAAUUCCUGGUGUAGCGGUGAAUGCGUAGAGAUCAGGAAGAACACCGGUGGCGAAAGCGCUCUGCUAGGCCGUAACUGACACUGAGGACGAGCAAGUC